GCGUCAAUGGCACUUGUACCACUUAUACAUACGGUGACCACAUUUCUGUGGACCAAAAUCGGAACACUUCUAAAGCAUCGAAUCCGAACAUUCAAUUUUGUUUU
Molecule: long non-coding RNA, 104 nt
Organism: Rhagoletis zephyria (snowberry fruit fly)
Lineage: Eukaryota; Metazoa; Arthropoda; Insecta; Diptera; Tephritidae
Source: RefSeq, a predicted model, not a curated record